This 497-nucleotide ribosomal RNA is filed under the name uncultured bacterium. RNAcentral describes it as "partial 16S ribosomal RNA". It matches the Rfam family "Bacterial small subunit ribosomal RNA", at positions 28 to 507 of the family's 1533-position model. The record is from RNAcentral.
GAUGAACGCUGGCGGCGUGCCUAAUACAUGCAAGUCGAGCGAACAGACGAGGAGCUUGCGCCUCUGACGUUAGCGGCGGACGGGCGAGUAACACGUGGAUAACCUACCUAUAAGACUGGGAUAACUUCGGGAAACCGGAGCUAAUACCGGAUAAUAUAUUGAACCGCAUGGUUCAAUAGUGAAAGACGGUUUUGCUGUCACUUAUAGAUGGAUCCGCGCCGCAUUAGCUAGUUGGUAAGGUAACGGCUUACCAAGGCGACGAUGCGUAGCCGACCUGAGAGGGUGAUCGGCCACCCUGGAACUGAGACACGGUCCAGACUCCUACGGGAGGCAGCAGUAGGGAAUCUUCCGCAAUGGGCGAAAGCCUGACGGAGCACCGCCGCGUGAGUGAUGAAGGUCUUCGGAUCGUAAAACUCUGUUAUUAGGGAAGAACAAAUGUGUAAGUAACUAUGCACGUCUUGACGGUACCUAAUCAGAAAGCCACGGCUAACUACGUG